Molecule: transfer RNA, 73 nt
Filed under: Photobacterium phosphoreum
Lineage: Bacteria; Pseudomonadati; Pseudomonadota; Gammaproteobacteria; Vibrionales; Vibrionaceae
Also listed under: 3 other names
Description: tRNA-Asp
Rfam family: tRNA
About the family: Transfer RNA (tRNA) molecules are approximately 80 nucleotides in length. Their secondary structure includes four short double-helical elements and three loops (D, anti-codon, and T loops). Further hydrogen bonds mediate the characteristic L-shaped molecular structure. tRNAs have two regions of fundamental functional importance: the anti-codon, which is responsible for specific mRNA codon recognition, and the 3' end, to which the tRNAs corresponding amino acid is attached (by aminoacyl-tRNA synthetases). tRNAs cope with the degeneracy of the genetic code in two manners: having more than one tRNA (with a specific anti-codon) for a particular amino acid; and 'wobble' base-pairing, i.e. permitting non-standard base-pairing at the 3rd anti-codon position.
Source: RNAcentral
UGGUAGUUCAGUUGGUUAGAAUACCGGCCUGUCACGCCGGGGGUCGCGGGUUCGAGUCCCGUCCACUCCGCCA